RNAcentral lists this non-coding RNA (122 nucleotides) under unclassified sequences. Its description in RNAcentral is "Flavobacterium-1 RNA". It matches the Rfam family "Flavobacterium-1 RNA". The record is from Rfam by way of RNAcentral.
CCGAGUUAGGGGUACAAGUCCUGCAGAAUUGCGUUCCUCUGGACCUAAGCAUAGUGCCGAAAGGCCCGCGACGACACUCGGCGUUAGAGGGGAGAGUGCCAGACGUGGUGUCUCCUCUGACG